UGGAGAUCCCUCCUUUGUGGGGUAUUUUCUGCAAACCUUUAGAUCUUUAGAUGUAGAUGGAUCUGGUCAAGAGGAAUAUUUUGCCAGAAGCUAAGAAUAAUUUGGUGUAACUUAUUGUAGAGUAUGACUCUAUGCUAUGACGAAGACUGCAAUUAGUAAUUUUAUAUGCAAGAAGAAACAUCUCAAAAGAACAGUGGGGUAACUUGUUUUCCACCAUAUGCACGGGCAUGUAUAUGACAAUGACAUACUUCAAGAUGAACCGGACAUUUCCUGGUAAAAAUGACCGAUUCCACCUUCCUGCAAUUCAGUAUCAUAUUCUGUAGGUGUUCCGAACAGAUUAUGCCAAUGAAACUCUGGAGCAUCAAAUAUAGCACUUCAGGAAAAAAACAAACAAAACAUUUUCCUUCUGUGAACAAACUUGGACACCUUACAGAGAAGUACUGAAUGUUGAUUCUCUUGAGGCGAUGCUUCAAUAGAAAGAGUGGGCAUGUUCUGAAGAUUUUGUUUUGCCAGUUGCAAGUUACUCAAAGGACGGUUUGAAAGGCAGUAACUGAUAAGCUGAAGAUCCUGCUGCACUUCUUAAAGCAAUCACCUGUGGCAAGAUCUUUCAUCACAGUGCUUUGACAGAGGCCUCCAACAAACGAAUCCCUCCCAAAAGUGGAUGGGAGUUAAAGCAUUGUGAAGUAGUGAAGAGGCAGCUCUCAGCAGAACUGAAACCAUUUCUAAUGUGGCCAAACUCUUCCUUCAGUCCUGACAGUGGACAAAUAUCAGAAAGAAAAAUGCAAGUGAGAUGAUAAAACUGUAGAAGAAUCUAUCAACCUUGGAAAAAGCAGCUGGUGUUGGGACUACAGGAGGCUCAGAAGCAGAACCAAUCACAUCUCCAAUCAACAAAGCAACCUGCUUCAUGGGAAUAGGGCAAUGAAAACAUCCAAAAGACUUCAUAUUUUAUCUACGUGUGUAAACAAGGAAAUAUGAAAGAAUUUGAGAGGCAUAUGGAUGAACUGCACGCAUGCAUACUCACAUUAUAUUUCACAUGCACAGAACACGUACUUCAUAUGUUAACAUGGAAUGGCAUCUGCAGUCUGAAUUUGAUGCUUAUUAGUUGUUUUCACUCUUCAAAUUAACUGACUUGUGCAUUAAUCAAUACUAAAGAUGCCCAGGUAUUUCUCCAUCACUUUGAAGAAAUCACGCUUUCCACAAUCCCAUCUUUGAAUAUUUGUUUCUUUUCACUGCAGUGUCCUGUGUUUUAUCACUUAAAUGCACGUGCUGUAACAAAACACGUGUUUUUUAAAAAACACCUUAAUCUUUAACUGCUGUAAUUUCUGUUGCAAGAAACAGAGAUAAAUCCUUCUGAAAUUAUUUUUUGUGUUCUACUCCAGGUUGAUGGUUGGACUAGAUAGAUUUAUUGCUCUUUCCAACCUUAAUAAUUCUGUGAUUCUACCAUCCCAUCCUCUCUCAUCUGACUCCAUGCUGUAGAGACUCUGUUUUUGACCUCUCCUCCUGUGGAAACCACCUCAUAUUCUUGAUGAUCUUACUGCCUUGUUCUUCUGUAGUUCUAGAUGACAGAUUUAUGGAAAUGAGAAGAACUUGAAAUGAAAGCAGUGCUCCAAAUUUGGAUUUCUCACAGAUUUUAUGCAGUGGUUUGUAGCGCUGUUCUACUAUGCUGCUGGGUGGUCUAUUUCUCUUGUAGCAAUUUCUGGUGUUUAUCGUUGAAAAUCUUCUUCCAUAACAUUUGUCCAAGCUACCCAAACUGCUCCUUCAAUAACCAGAUCAGUUCUUGGCCCUUACUAAGACACGAUUCCUAUUUCUGGUGUGCUUGGAAGAAAAAAGAAGCUUAUUGUUUUGUUUGUUACCUUGCCUUUAUAUCUAACUGUACCACAAUUUACACUUCACUUCUACCUUCCUCCUACAGAUUUCACUCCUACAAUUUAAUGACUAUGUUUUUAAUUCCCAAGAGUCUCAUUUACUCCUGUUCAGCAGUGCUAGCUUCUUUUUCCAAGUGUAGAAGUAGAAUGACACUCUUUUUAAUUGAUUUAGAUUUAUGUUGUUACUAAGCAUCACACAGAAACAUGCUGCAAGGUUCCAUGAUACCAUUAAGCAUUUUAGUCUACAACUAAUCCUUUUACUUAACCUUUCAAAUUGAGAAACACUGUGGUGGAUAUUCUGCAUGGCAUCUCUUUAUUAGAACAGAACUCUUGCAUAUCCUCACUGGUCUUCCCAUCACUGUAUGCUGCAUGUGUACUUGCAGUGCCUCAGUAGCACUGUAAUACUAUGUAAUUAGUUUGCCCUUUCAGAGAGGAUCACGAGGACCAACACUGAAUGUAUAAUAAAACUGUAUAAGUAUCAGAGCUGCAUACUCACAACAAUGUACGUAGAAAAGAGAUGCUGCAACUGAAAAUCACUCCCUCCUCAGCAAUGCAUAUUAAAAGAUCUUCUGCCUGUCAGGAAACUGUUUCUCCUCAAAAGAACUGGUCAAUAUGUCCACCCACUACUAAUGCUGUCUGUUUCCUCCUUCCUGCUUUGGACUCAUCCAGACAUACUUGGAAUAAAAUCUGUCCCUUGAUGAGAUUUCCAUGGCAGCACUGAACUCAGUGGAAACUGCCGCAGGGAUGGCAGCCCUUGAAAGUUAUGAGAAUGCUGAUGCAAAAUGUUGCUACUGAAGAAUCAUAAAGGUUGGAAAAGACCUCAAAGAUCAUCUAGUCCAACCAUCAGCUUGGCAUUGAACGUAAAAAAUAACUCUGGAAGUUAUAACCACCAUGCCACUAAACCAUGUCCCUCAGUGCUACAUCUACACAUUUUUUGAACAUUUCCAGGAACUCUGCCAUUACCCUGAGCAGACUGUUCCAACACUCCAUCACUCUUUCUGAGAAUAAAUUUUUCCUAAUAUCCAACCUGAACCUCCCCUUGUGUGACUAAAGGCCAUCUCUUGUCCUUUUGCUGUUACCUCACCGAAGCCACUUAAAACAUAAUGUAUUUUAAUGGUGAAGGUAUUUUUAUCUAAUUCCACAUAAAACUGAGAACAGAAUUAAGACAAAAAUUGAGUAAAUGUAUACAACAUAUAGAAUAAAAUAUGAGUCUAAAUAAUGCAGCCAAAAUGCACCAUUGUUCUUCACCCACAGAACAUAGUAAUAGUACAAAAUUAGCAGAGAAAAAUCAGAAUUCCUUUUAAGCAGAAUAAGCAAGCUGAGAGACGUAUCUUUAACCAUUUAGAAACAAAAAACAGGACUUUUUUUUUUUUUUUUUUUUUAAGUCAACUGAAGUCAGUCACAUUUAAGCUGUUGAGCUCUAGCCCUGCUUUUUCUAUCAGUCACUGUGUUAUGCAUUUCCCUCUUUAUCUUCUGUCAUAUACAAUCUCCUGUGACUAUGGAAACAUCCAGUUCCUAUCAUCUGUAUUUAUGUGCUAAGAUAUCACAGCUAGAAACAUACUGACUUACUCAAUUUUGAGUGAAACUAUUUUGGAAAAUAACCCCUUAAAAUGUCACACCAAAAAAAGCUUAAAAAGUUUUUGCCAUUGACUUCAAAGAGCACAGAGAAAUUAUGGGCAGAAAGUGUGCCAUAAGCAUGAUAAAAAUAAAUUUCUUAGUCUAAAAAUUUCUACUCUU
Long non-coding RNA from Lagopus leucura (white-tailed ptarmigan), 3602 nucleotides. RefSeq lists it as uncharacterized. NCBI's taxonomy places the organism in Eukaryota, Metazoa, Chordata, Aves, Galliformes, Phasianidae. The record is from RefSeq and is a predicted model, not a curated record. The transcript has 8 exons.